This 920-nucleotide ribosomal RNA is filed under the name Alteromonas sp. Its description in RNAcentral is "bacterial SSU rRNA". It matches the Rfam family "Bacterial small subunit ribosomal RNA", at positions 57 to 973 of the family's 1533-position model. The record is from RNAcentral. Lineage: Bacteria; Pseudomonadati; Pseudomonadota; Gammaproteobacteria; Alteromonadales; Alteromonadaceae.
GCAGUCGAACGGUAACAUUUAUGAGCUUGCUCAUACGAUGACGAGUGGCGGACGGGUGAGUAAUGCUUGGGAACUUGCCUUUGCGAGGGGGAUAACAGUUGGAAACGACUGCUAAUACCGCAUAAUGUCUUCGGACCAAACGGGGCUUCGGCUCCGGCGCAAAGAGAGGCCCAAGUGAGAUUAGCUAGUUGGUAAGGUAACGGCUUACCAAGGCGACGAUCUCUAGCUGUUCUGAGAGGAAGAUCAGCCACACUGGGACUGAGACACGGCCCAGACUCCUACGGGAGGCAGCAGUGGGGAAUAUUGCACAAUGGGGGAAACCCUGAUGCAGCCAUGCCGCGUGUGUGAAGAAGGCCUUCGGGUUGUAAAGCACUUUCAGUUGUGAGGAAAAGUUAGUAGUUAAUACCUGCUAGCCGUGACGUUAACAACAGAAGAAGCACCGGCUAACUCCGUGCCAGCAGCCGCGGUAAUACGGAGGGUGCGAGCGUUAAUCGGAAUUACUGGGCGUAAAGCGCACGCAGGCGGUUUGUUAAGCUAGAUGUGAAAGCCCCGGGCUCAACCUGGGAUGGUCAUUUAGAACUGGCAGACUAGAGUCUUGGAGAGGGGAGUGGAAUUCCAGGUGUAGCGGUGAAAUGCGUAGAUAUCUGGAGGAACAUCAGUGGCGAAGGCGACUCCCUGGCCAAAGACUGACGCUCAUGUGCGAAAGUGUGGGUAGCGAACAGGAUUAGAUACCCUGGUAGUCCACACCGUAAACGCUGUCUACUAGCUGUGUGUGCCUUUAAGGCGUGCGUAGCGAAGCUAACGCGCUAAGUAGACCGCCUGGGGAGUACGGCCGCAAGGUUAAAACUCAAAUGAAUUGACGGGGGCCCGCACAAGCGGUGGAGCAUGUGGUUUAAUUCGAUGCAACGCGAAAAACCUUA